ACGGGAGGCAGCAGUGGGGAAUAUUGCACAAUGGGGGAAACCCUGAUGCAGCGACGCCGCGUGAGCGAAGAAGUAUUUCGGUAUGUAAAGCUCUAUCAGCAGGGAAGAAAAUGACGGUACCUGACUAAGAAGCUCCGGCUAAAUACGUGCCAGCAGCCGCGGUAAUACGUAUGGAGCAAGCGUUAUCCGGAUUUACUGGGUGUAAAGGGAGCGUAGACGGAACAGCAAGUCUGAUGUGAAAGGCAGGGGCUCAACUCCUGGACUGCAUUGGAAACUGUUGAUCUUGAGUGUCGGAGAGGUAAGCGGAAUUCCUAGUGUAGCGGUGAAAUGCGUAGAUAUUAGGAGGAACACCAGUGGCGAAGGCGGCUUACUGGACGAUAACUGACGUUGAGGCUCGAAAGCGUGGGGAGCAAACAGGAUUAGAUACCCUGGUA
This 434-nucleotide ribosomal RNA is filed under the name uncultured Lachnospiraceae bacterium. RNAcentral's name for it is "partial 16S ribosomal RNA". It matches the Rfam family "Bacterial small subunit ribosomal RNA", at positions 341 to 792 of the family's 1533-position model. The record is from RNAcentral. RNAcentral also lists the same sequence under 1 other name. Lineage: Bacteria; Bacillati; Bacillota; Clostridia; Lachnospirales; Lachnospiraceae.